Molecule: ribosomal RNA, 583 nt
Filed under: uncultured bacterium
Lineage: Bacteria
Description: partial 16S ribosomal RNA
Rfam family: Bacterial small subunit ribosomal RNA
Source: RNAcentral
UGGGGAAUUUUGGACAAUGGGCGAAAGCCUGAUCCAGCAAUGCCGCGUGUGUGAAGAAGGCCUUCGGGUUGUAAAGCACUUUUGUCCGGAAAGAAAUCCUUGGCUCUAAUACAGUCGGGGGAUGACGGUACCGGAAGAAUAAGCACCGGCUAACUACGUGCCAGCAGCCGCGGUAAUACGUAGGGUGCAAGCGUUAAUCGGAAUUACUGGGCGUAAAGCGUGCGCAGGCGGUUUGCUAAGACCGAUGUGAAAUCCCCGGGCUCAACCUGGGAACUGCAUUGGUGACUGGCAGGCUAGAGUAUGGCAGAGGGGGGUAGAAUUCCACGUGUAGCAGUGAAAUGCGUAGAGAUGUGGAGGAAUACCGAUGGCGAAGGCAGCCCCCUGGGCCAAUACUGACGCUCAUGCACGAAAGCGUGGGGGAGCAAACAGGAUUAGAUACCCUGGUAGUCCACGCCCUAAACGAUGUCAACUAGUUGUUGGGGAUUCAUUUCCUAGUAACGUAGCUAACGCGUGAAGUUGACCGCUGGGGAGUACGGUCGCAAGAUUAAAACUCAAUGAAUUGACGGGGUCAUAGCUGUUUCCU